UACGUAGGGCGCAAGCGUUGUCCGGAAUUAUUGGGCGUAAAGGGCUCGUAGGCGGUUUGUCGCGUCGGGAGUGAAAACCUCGGGCUUAACUCGGGGCUUGCUUUCGAUACGGGCAGACUAGAGGUAUGCAGGGGAGAACGGAAUUCCUGGUGUAGCGGUGAAAUGCGCAGAUAUCAGGAGGAACACCGGUGGCGAAGGCGGUUCUCUGGGCAUGAUCUGACGCUGAGGAGCGAAAGUGUGGGGAGCGAACAGG
Molecule: ribosomal RNA, 253 nt
Filed under: uncultured bacterium
Lineage: Bacteria
Description: partial 16S ribosomal RNA
Rfam family: Bacterial small subunit ribosomal RNA
Source: RNAcentral